RNAcentral lists this ribosomal RNA (400 nucleotides) under Aquipseudomonas alcaligenes. Its description in RNAcentral is "bacterial SSU rRNA". It matches the Rfam family "Bacterial small subunit ribosomal RNA", at positions 150 to 542 of the family's 1533-position model. Lineage: Bacteria; Pseudomonadati; Pseudomonadota; Gammaproteobacteria; Pseudomonadales; Pseudomonadaceae. The record is from RNAcentral.
UUCGAAAGGAACGCUAAUACCGCAUACGUCCUACGGGAGAAAGCAGGGGACCUUCGGGCCUUGCGCUAUCAGAUGAGCCUAGGUCGGAUUAGCUAGUAGGUGAGGUAAAGGCUCACCUAGGCGACGAUCCGUAACUGGUCUGAGAGGAUGAUCAGUCACACUGGAACUGAGACACCGGUCCAGACUCCUACGGGAGGCAGCAGUGGGGAAUAUUGGACAAUGGGCGAAAGCCUGCAUCCAGCCAUGCCGCGUGUGUGAAGAAGGUCUUCGGAUUGUAAAGCACUUUAAGUUGGGAGGAAGGGCAGUAAGUUAAUACCUUGUCUGUUUUGACGUUACCAACAGAAUAAGCACCGGCUAACUUCGUGCCAGCAGCCGCGGUAAUACGAAGGGUGCAAGCGUU